Molecule: long non-coding RNA, 393 nt
Organism: Lycium ferocissimum
Lineage: Eukaryota; Viridiplantae; Streptophyta; Magnoliopsida; Solanales; Solanaceae
Exons: 2
Source: RefSeq, a predicted model, not a curated record
GUGUAGGAAUCUUAUCCUACGAGGCCACAACCAUCCUUGGUGCCAUAUCCCACAACCAUCCUUGGUGCCGGUGGUAUACUAAAAGGUAAGUGAUCGAACAAGGAUAAUAUUAAUUUUUAAGCACAUUCAGUAUUAAAACAAGUAACAUGGUAUAUGCGUUCACAUAGUUGGAAAGCAAAGAAGAUUUAUACUCGUAAAUGAAAUAAGUCGUUAUUUUCUUAAUUGAUGGAACAUAUACUUACCAAGAAAGACAAUUUCAAUAAUUUAGUUCCACAAGACACUGGAAUACUCUCUCCGCCCCAAAGAGAUUGUUUUACUUUUUUUAUUAGUUUGUCUCAAAAAUAUUGACACAUUUCUAUAUUUAGAGACAAUUUAACUUUAUAAGAUGAUUUA